Molecule: non-coding RNA, 1072 nt
Organism: Punica granatum (pomegranate)
Lineage: Eukaryota; Viridiplantae; Streptophyta; Magnoliopsida; Myrtales; Lythraceae
Source: RefSeq, a predicted model, not a curated record
AUAUAUAUAAGUAUAUUUCUUUUUUCUAUAUUUAUAUAAAUGUAUCUUUGAAACAUCUCUCUCAGUCUCAUCUCAUCUCUCUCGAUUAGGGCACUCCAACCCAAACUGCUCGCGGCCUUGUUUGGUUUAGGUGUAGAAAGAAAGAUUUUGAUUUCUCUCCGAGAAGCAGAAUGGCAGCAAAGGGUCGGAAAGGGUCUUCGGCCAUAAGAACAAGAAGCGCUAAGCCGAAACCGAAAACUAUCAGCAAGGGAAGGGUUGUGAGACCGCGAAAACAAGGGAAGGCAAUACCAUUGGCCGACUCAGCCUCUAUCAGUCCCUCACCGAUCAAAAGCUGUGAGCACCUCGACUUCGACAGACUUCCUAAGGGUGCCCCAUCAAGUGGCUUCUCUACCCCAAAGGCUCGAAAGUAUCGAAUACCGAAGAUCAAGACCUGCCCGCCAGCACCGAAGAAGCAAAGGGUGGAUGUUCCCGAUCAGUCCUUGACUAGAAGGCAGAUCACCUUCUUUGCUCCUCCCGAUCUCGAGGUAUUCUUCAUGUUUGCACUCGGCAACAUGUCGGACUAAACCAGGAUAGAUUGAUCAGAGGCAGCACAAAGUGUCAGCGGUGUUAGCUUAGUUUUUCACAAAGCCGAUUAAUUAUAAGGGGGGUCGAAGGUAUACAUAUACGCGGGCUAUCAGUACAUAGGUGAAUGUGCUAUAUAUGCAUAUCCACCAGACGCACCUCCUAGCUACAUUGUUCGUCAGUCUGGUCAGACGAAAAUGUCCAUCGAUGGAACGAAUUGUCUGAUUUUAGAACAACAUAUGGCAGCUGGGUAGUUCGAGACUAAUUCUUAAUGUAACUCUCUAGCUAGCUAGGUUUUUUGAACUGCUUUAUUAUCGGGGUUAAUUAGAAUAAGGAAAAGAAUAUUAGAGGAUAAUACAAUUGUGAUCAUCAUUAUAAGCUUUAUUAGCAACUAGUCAGCCUGCAGUGUUUCAACUUGUGUAUAUGCACUUGUUUGUAGGGUUAACUCAUGAUUGUAUUUUGCUGGAAAUUAAGCUAUAGCAGGUCCCAUCUACAACUAAUUAAGCUCCAA